GUCCCUGGAGGACUAGUGGUUAGGCCUGGGUGCUCUCUCCGCCGUGGCCCGGGUUCAAUUCCCGGCCAGACC
Molecule: non-coding RNA, 72 nt
Organism: Pangasius djambal
Lineage: Eukaryota; Metazoa; Chordata; Actinopteri; Siluriformes; Pangasiidae
Source: the annotation of a GenBank genome assembly